AAAAUUUCGUGCACUACCAUAGGGUGAAGAAGAAGCUCCUUUCUUCCAUAUUAUCGUCAUUUUACGGUGAAUCGAAGAGCUAAAUGCACCAACGAGGGAUUAUCAAGCAUUUAUUUAAAAGUGGUGGAUCUUGAUACUUUCUUACCAACUUAGGACUAUUCUAACCACUGGCGGAGGGAGAAUACAACAAGCUGUACCCCCAAAUCAUCGUAAUUAUGUUAUAUAUAUCAUUUGUCUUAAUAAAUAAAGAAUUGGCCGAGUGGAAAGAGGCUCCCAGACAGUUUUCAAGCCCUGUGUUCGAGCCUUAGGGAUGUCAUUUUUAUUAAUUGUUCUGUUUAAAAUAUUUUUCUUCUUUUACUAAAGCUUUAAAUUUUAAAUAUGUACUACAUGUCUUUAAUUUUUGCUUGUAAAACAUUUUUUUUCUACUAAUAUAUUUAUGUUAUCAUUA
Molecule: long non-coding RNA, 448 nt
Organism: Salvia splendens (bonfire salvia)
Lineage: Eukaryota; Viridiplantae; Streptophyta; Magnoliopsida; Lamiales; Lamiaceae
Exons: 2
Source: RefSeq, a predicted model, not a curated record